AUGGGAGACAUUCAGCUACAGACUGGUCCUACGGUCAGGCCCACUGUGUCUUUGCUCAGGCCCUCCUCUGAGCAUCUCUCCGGGGGCUCUGCCACGCUGGCCUGUCUGCUGACUGGCUACUCCCCCCAGGGGGCGCUGGUGAGCUGGGAGGUGGACGGGCUGGAGGUGAGUCAGGGGGUUGUGACCAGUCCAGAAGAAGAGAGUGAAGGUGUCUACAGACGCAGCAGCACCCUGACCCUGAGCAAGGCAGGUUGGGAGAAAGGGGAGGUGUACGCCUGCAGGGUCUCCCACUUCCAACACACCCAGGCCUCCGCCCUUCGCAGGAGUCAGUGUGUGAGCUAGGACGCGCUGGAGCAGCCCCAGAACAGGAGCUCUGUCUGGGAGAGCAGGAGUAAAUGAGGCUCUCCUCUGGGCGGGGCCCUGGUUGAACCAGUAAUAUUGUGUUAGGUCUUAGUUCCUGUGUUAACAUGAGUUAUGCUGAGAAGGGAACAGUCUGUGUGUUGUGUUUUACAUAGAGGAGAGAUGACUGUCCUGUAUUGACACUGUAACUGGGAUCUCCCUGUCUGUCUCUUAAAUACAUUUUGAUGUAGAAAUAACAUGGUGGAACAGUUCAUUCACUGUGAGAACCAAUGAAAGUGUCAACAGCUAAAGUAAAGUAUUCAAUAUAACCAA
Non-coding RNA from Esox lucius (northern pike), 672 nucleotides. NCBI's taxonomy places the organism in Eukaryota, Metazoa, Chordata, Actinopteri, Esociformes, Esocidae. The record is from the annotation of a RefSeq genome assembly.